GACGAACGCUGGCGGCGUGCCUAAUACAUGCAAGUCGAACGCAUUUUCUUUCACCGUAGCUUGCUACACCGAAAGAAAAUGAGUGGCGAACGGGUGAGUAACACGUGGGUAACCUGCCCAUCAGCGGGGGAUAACACUUGGAAACAGGUGCUAAUACCGCAUAAUUCCAUUUACCGCAUGGUAGAUGGGUGAAAGGCGCUUUUGCGUCACUGAUGGAUGGACCCGCGGUGCAUUAGCUAGUUGGUGGGGUAACGGCCUACCAAGGCUGCGAUGCAUAGCCGACCUGAGAGGGUGAUCGGCCACACUGGGACUGAGACACGGCCCAGACUCCUACGGGAGGCAGCAGUAGGGAAUCUUCGGCAAUGGACGCAAGUCUGACCGAGCAACGCCGCGUGAGUGAAGAAGGGUGUCGGGUCGUAAAACUCUGUUGUUAGAGAAGAACAAGGAUGAGAGUGGAAAGUUCAUCCCUUGACGGUAUCUAACCAGAAAGCCACGGCUAACUACGUG
This 507-nucleotide ribosomal RNA is filed under the name uncultured bacterium. RNAcentral describes it as "partial 16S ribosomal RNA". It matches the Rfam family "Bacterial small subunit ribosomal RNA", at positions 28 to 507 of the family's 1533-position model. The record is from RNAcentral.